GAUAAACGCUGGCGGCGUGCCUAAUACAUGCAAGUCGAACGCAGUGGCGAACGGGUGAGUAAUACAUAAGCAAUCUGCCCACAAAACUGGGAUAACCUCUGGAAACGGGGACUAAUACCGGAUACUAGUGGAUGAGCUUAUGGCGCAUUAGUUAGUUGGUGGGGGAACGGCCCACCAAGACGAUGAUGCGGAGCCGGCCGGAGAGGGUGAGCGGCCACAUUGGUACUGCGACACGGCCCAGACUCUACGCGAUGGAGCAGUAGUGAAUUUUCGGCAAUGGGGGGAACCCUGACCGAGCAACGCCGCGUGAGUGAAGACGGCCUUCGGGUUGUAAAGCUCUGUUGGAAGAAAAGCAUUAUCUUACCAGAAAGCCACGGCUAACUACGUGCCAGCAGCCGCGGUAAUUC
This 407-nucleotide ribosomal RNA is filed under the name uncultured bacterium. RNAcentral's name for it is "partial 16S ribosomal RNA". It matches the Rfam family "Bacterial small subunit ribosomal RNA", at positions 28 to 526 of the family's 1533-position model. The record is from RNAcentral.